This is a long non-coding RNA of Rosa chinensis, 290 nucleotides long. RefSeq lists it as uncharacterized. Lineage: Eukaryota; Viridiplantae; Streptophyta; Magnoliopsida; Rosales; Rosaceae. The record is from RefSeq and is a predicted model, not a curated record. The transcript has 3 exons.
CUGUUCAAUGGAAGAACAUGGCAGGUAUUCCAUCACAGCCAAACGACAAACAGUGCGGCUAUUUUGUGAUGAGAUAUAUGAGGGAUAUCAUCCAUGAUACAAACUUGUCAUUUGCAGAUAAGUGGGCUAGGAGAGCCAACCAUGUUUAUGGUCAAGUGGAAAUUGAUGAAGUGCGUAAUGAGCUCACAAGUUAUGUGUUGAAGAACAUCCUCAAGCUGUAAAGUAUGCAGUUGCUCAUGCCCUAGAAGCUCUGAAGUGAAAUAGGCUAGAAAUGUGUUUUUGUGCUCCAA